UAGAGUUUGAUCCUGGCUCAGAUUGAACGCUGGCGGCAGGCCUAACACAUGCAAGUCGAGCGGCAGCGGGAAAGUAGCUUGCUACUUUUGCCGGCGAGCGGCGGACGGGUGAGUAAUGCCUGGGGAUCUGCCCAGUCGAGGGGGAUAACUACUGGAAACGGUAGCUAAUACCGCAUACCCCCUACGGGGGAAAGCAGGGGACCUUCGGGCCUUGCGCGAUUGGAUGACCCCAGGUGGGAUUAGCUAGUUGGUGAGGUAAUGGCUCACCAAGGCGACGAUCCCUAGCUGGUCUGAGAGGAUGAUCACCCCCACUGAAACUGACACCCCGCCCACACUCCUACGGGAGGCAGCAGUGGGGAAUAUUGCACAAUGGGGGAAACCCUGAUGCAGCCAUGCCGCGUGUGUGAAGAAGGCCUUCGGGUUGUAAAGCACUUUCAGCGAGGAGGAAAGGUUGGUAGCUAAUAACUGCCAGCUGUGACGUUACUCGCAGAAGAAGCACCGGCUAACUCCGUGCCAGCAGCCGCGGUAAUACGGAGGGUGCAAGCGUUAAUCGGAAUUACUGGGCGUAAAGCGCACGCAGGCGGUUGGAUAAGUUAGAUGUGAAAGCCCCGGGCUCAACCUGGGAAUUGCAUUUAAAACUGUCCAGCUAGAGUCUUGUAGAGGGGGGUAGAAUUCCAGGUGUAGCGGUGAAAUGCGUAGAGAUCUGGAGGAAUACCGGUGGCGAAGGCGGCCCCCUGGACAAAGACUGACGCUCAGGUGCGAAAGCGUGGGGGGCAAACAGGAUUAGAUACCCUGGUAGUCCACGCCGUAAA
Molecule: ribosomal RNA, 812 nt
Filed under: uncultured bacterium
Lineage: Bacteria
Description: bacterial SSU rRNA
Rfam family: Bacterial small subunit ribosomal RNA
Source: RNAcentral